GACGAACGCUGGCGGCGUGCUUAACACAUGCAAGUCGAACGGAAAGGCCCUGCUUUUGUGGGGUGCUCGAGUGGCGAACGGGUGAGUAACACGUGAGUAACCUGCCCUUGACUUUGGGAUAACUUCAGGAAACUGGGGCUAAUACCGGGUAGGAGCUCCUGCUGCAUGGUGGGGGUUGGAAAGUUUCGGCGGUUGGGGAUGUACUCGCGGCUUAUCAGCUUGCUGGUGAGGUUGGGGCUUACCAAGGCUUUGACGGGUAGCCGGCAUGGGAGGGUUACCGGCCACAUUGCUCCUGAGAGAGGGACCAGACUCCAACGGGAGGCAGCAGUGGGGAAUCUGGCGCAGUGGGCGGAAGCCUGUUGUAGAAACGUCGCGUUCGGGAAACCGGCUUUUUAGGUGUAAACAGAUUUCGACUUAGACGAGGAGGGAUUGACGGUAAUGAGUAAAGAAGCACCGGCUAACUACGUG
Molecule: ribosomal RNA, 468 nt
Filed under: uncultured bacterium
Lineage: Bacteria
Description: partial 16S ribosomal RNA
Rfam family: Bacterial small subunit ribosomal RNA
Source: RNAcentral